RNAcentral lists this ribosomal RNA (482 nucleotides) under uncultured bacterium. RNAcentral's name for it is "partial 16S ribosomal RNA". It matches the Rfam family "Bacterial small subunit ribosomal RNA", at positions 30 to 507 of the family's 1533-position model. The record is from RNAcentral.
AUUGAACGCUGGCGGCAUGCCUUACACAUGCAAGUCGAACGGUAACGGGCCUUCGGGUGCCGACGAGUGGCGAACGGGUGCGUAAUACAUCGGAACGUGCCCGAUCGCGGGGGAUAACGAGGCGAAAGCUUUGCUAAUACCGCAUACGAUCUACGGAUGAAAGCAGGGGACCGCAAGGCCUUGCGCGGACCGAGCGGCCGAUGGCAGAUUAGGUAGUUGGUGGGAUAAAAGCUUACCAAGCCGACGAUCUGUAGCUGGUCUGAGAGGAUGAUCAGCCACACUGAGACUGAGACACGGCCCAGACUCCUACGGGAGGCAGCAGUGGGGAAUUUUGGACAAUGGGCGCAAGCCUGAUCCAGCCAUGCCGCGUGCAGGAUGAAGGCCUUCGGGUUGUAAACUGCUUUUGUACGGAACGAAAAGCCUUCUUUUAAUACAGGAGGGUCAUGACGGUACCGUAAGAAUAAGCACCGGCUAACUACGUG